Columba livia (rock pigeon) is the source of this 1559-nucleotide long non-coding RNA. RefSeq lists it as uncharacterized. The record is from RefSeq and is a predicted model, not a curated record. Lineage: Eukaryota; Metazoa; Chordata; Aves; Columbiformes; Columbidae. The transcript has 2 exons.
CCUGCAGGCAAACUCCAUCCGUGUGCGCAUCCCUCCAUGCCGGCGUCUUGCCGUGCACCUGCCUCUCCGUGCACGCAUCCUUCCCUGCAGACCUUCCCCAUACGACCGGCAUUUCCAGGGUCGUGCCCCCUAUUUUGCACUGUGCCUUCAUGCACGUACCCAUGCGUAUUUACAGUGAAUAUAAACAAGGAUAAAAGGGGUGUAAGAAGGAGGAGGGGAUGCUAACCCGGUUUUACAGAUGGCAAACUGAGCCACAGGGAGAUGAAGGUGCCUGCCUUGGGCCACCGGGGGGAAUUCGUUCCAGAGCUGGAAAGGAAAAGGCACUGCUCUCAAAUUUCAGUUCAAGGCAGUUUCCAGCCAUGAAACUCUAUUCCUUUUAGCGCUAAUGCAAGCUAUUGCUUGCUGCAGGGAUGUGUCAGGACUGACAAAGGGGGAACUAGAGUGACAUUAUAGGCAAUACAAUACACCUUUUCAGGCACUCACUUUGAACAUGCUGGUUGCAGUUACUUUGAUAGAUCCCACGUCUCUACAGGGAUCCUGGGCUCAACAGCCUCUGUGGGGUUGAGGAAUGCCCUGCUCUAAAAAUAUUGUUCAGCAAAAAGGGGAUUGUUGCUGGCUGUGGAGCUGCAGAGCGUCUGUGCCACAUAGUGGAGCAACUCUGAUUUUGUAAGGCAGACUGUGUUACAAGUGCAGUGCUUUUCAGCAAUUUCUCAUUUAACCUCUACAGGCACUGCCUUAAUCUGUUUUGCUUUAAUGAGGAAGGACCUGGCACUCACCAAAGGACUUCCAGGAUGGCCUAGGACAAGGAUACAGAGCAAAAGAAGGAUCCAAGAAAGGCUUAGGGAGUCCUUGGGAGAAAGCUGAAGAGCUGCAGGCCAGAGAACAGCUCUCUGCUGUCUGAAGAGCCCGGCUCACUGGCUCAUGGGGCUAACUAUUAAUACUAGCUGUAGCACUGUAGCUGUCAAGCUGUGGCUGUGUUCCCUCCUUGUAGAAAAUGCUAAGCCGGUAAGUGUAUAUACCAGGUAAGGUGUGGGCUUCUUGGGGCUUUUGGCAGGUUGCUGUUUCAGCCUCCAGUGGGGCUGUAUUUGGGGCUUGAUCUUUCAGGCUUCCUUGUGGAUCUUUAGGAGUCUCAUCAGUGUUCUCCCAAAUGCAAUUGGAAGGGGAUUUAUUGGGAGAUUUUAGAAGCAGCUGGAUAUGACUUUAGAAGACAUUAACACACACUAUCUGGACAUGGAGUCAUAUCCCUACCUCAUCAAGACUACAGGAGAUUUGGGAUGGGGCAGGAGGAGAUCUUUAGAGAAGCUCAAAAGGAUCACUGCUAAUAAGUUAUUUUCCCACACACAUAAAACCUGGUUCUCUGUUGGCUAGAAAUGUCUAGAAAUCCACACACUCAGGCAGAGCGGUACUAUAAGGUUACACUCCUUCUUUAAUAAGUAUUUUCCUUCUUUGCAUUGCUGUUAAUGAUAGCAAGAGAAGCAGGGCAGUGGAAAAUUUGGACUACAGAUUGUGGGGGUGGAAAUAUUUGUGUCACUUCAAUAAAUUCUUCUGUAUGCUCUUCA